Tripterygium wilfordii is the source of this 1453-nucleotide RNA transcript. It is a transcript of the gene named serine/threonine-protein kinase 19, with no coding region annotated. The transcript is spliced from 10 exons. The record is from RefSeq and is a predicted model, not a curated record. NCBI's taxonomy places the organism in Eukaryota, Viridiplantae, Streptophyta, Magnoliopsida, Celastrales, Celastraceae.
GCGCGGGUGACUAGAUUUCGUGGGAAUUCGCCAAUUCGGUUAUUCCGUGAAACUCCUUCGCUUUGAAACUUGCGCACAAGUCAAGGAUGGACAUGAUUCCAGAAUCAUCAAAAGCGAAGAAGCGCCGACGGGAGGAAGAUCCUGAACCUGAAAGCAGUGAUGUCGAUCUAACUUCGUCUCUCGAGAGGAAUCUUACGUUUAGCGAUACGCUGGUGGCGCUUCGUAUAAUGCGAGCUCAGUUUCCUCGCAUUGACAAGGUUGCAAUUCAGCCCUUCAUUCUACAAUCACAAUUAUAUAGCAGUGUAAAUGACAGAACACAAGUAGAUAGGGAGUUAGAGACUCUAAGGAGGAAUAAAGUUUUGCGCCUUUUCAAGCUAAAUACUGGGCAAGAUGAUCAUGCUAUAAUGUUUUUGGAUGACUAUCUAGUCCAGAUAGAACGAGUUGUGAAAAGAAUGGAAGAAAAGAAGCAAGGCAAGCUUGAAGUUCUUGAGUGGUUUAAAACACGUGUUAUUGAUUCAAAGCUGGGACCUAGCAUUGAACAUCAAGAGCUUUGUAUACUCUUGUCCCAAGGGGUAAAGGUGAAGGAUGAGCACAUCUCCUUAUUAAUCAACAGUGGUGUUCUUACCCGCCAACUGAUUGAUCCAAACAUGUAUUGGUUUGCAAUUCCAAAUAUUGGCUCUGUACUAAAGGGUCUCUCACAGGGAAGAAAGGAGCUUCUUUCUCUUCUAAAUCGUAGGAGAUAUAAAGAGAUGAUGUUGGCGCCUCUGGAAAAGAAGCGACUUAGAUUCUCUCCACUUGAUAUGAGAUUUCACCUUCGUGACCUGAUUGGCUCUGGUCACCUCAAAACUGUUUGCACACCAACUGGCUUAGUCGUUCGAGUUUCCAGAGAUUGAAAUUCAGGAGCAUCCCUGCUCAGACUAUUACUGUGUUAUUUGCUCCUAUCUAAAUUGUAUAAUCGAAGAGGGGUUUGGUUACUAUACUUCGUUUACCUGCUCUUAGUAAAUCUCCAUAUCCAGGUUAGCAAAAUCAGAAGAUACUACUCCAGGCGAUCGCAUGCAUUGGCAUACAAGAAGAUGAGGUGAUCAUUCAGUGGGUGACUUAGACACUGUAUCUUGGGAUUAAGGAGUCAUACAAAUGGUUAGAGAGGAAAAUAAAUAUAAAAGAUCUUUCCAAGACAGGCUGAGCAAGAUUUUGCCUGCUGUCUACACAACUAGAACAAGCUCAUGCUAACAAGCACGCUCGCAAUCGGAGUCUAGAACCAUGUCAGUAGUAGGCAUGUAGCCAAUCUUAUUUGUAAGUUGAUCCUGUGAUGGGAGCAUCUAUGAAGAGUAACUAUAGAUUCUGAUGAUAGUUUUUGCAUUUUGAGUCAUCUAAGACAGCUCUUGUUUGCUCUGUAUUGAUCCCCCUCUACCCAUUUGUUUCUUAAGCAAAGCUUCUACUGUCGUCUCUGGCU